CAACCCGAAGUCUUCCUUAGUUUUGUACAUUUUAGCAUGCUUACACUUUCUAAAGAGGCAUUUAUAUUGUUCAACCAAUGACAUUUUAUAUACAUCCUUGAUGCAUGUCGUACUCAUUACAUGCGCCUUGAUGAGGCCGUAAACCAGAUUAAGAAGAGCAUCUCUAAUGUUCUGUGUGUUUCUUUUUAUAUAUAUUGCUCCGCUGAUUGUGAUCACAGUGGUUUAGCAACAGUACAGGAUGCUAAAUUCCAUGAGUUCGCAAUAGAUUAGUAAGCGUGUGGGGUUCUGUAUUAUGUUAUAGAUCAGAUUAAUUGAAAUUUUGGAAGUUAAGCAAUGUCUUGAGUUUAUGAGGAUUGGCCAGGGACACACCCGUAUCCACCGCUUCCUUGGAAAUAUCUGAAAAUUCUCAACUUACAGUUUCACACAUGACUAUGGUUAAAAUGAAUGCCUGUCUGGCCUUUCCAUCUCAUCAUUGCCACUUCAGAUUUCUGAAAAUGAUUUGCUGCCAAAAGGUUCAGUUUAAAUAUUCUGAGCUAAAGAAGCUGAGCCUUCUUGCUGUACUGUUGCUUUUUCACUUUUAGAAAGAAUUAUAGCUGCAUUCGUUCCUCUCUCCGCAAUUUCUUAAGAAGUUCACCUUUGGCUACUGGCAAAUUAAUGUUGGAGCCUCAGGAUUUGUUUGGUACAAUUUGACUGACCAAUUAGACGGGAACUUUUGCCCUCAGGUUGUCAGUUUAAACACAAUAACGUAAUGACAAUUGUGGAAUGAACUGAAUUAUCUAAUGUUGUAGAUUUCCCGUUUUUUUUAUGGAUUUUGCAUAGGAGUGGCCACAAUUAUAUGGAGACAAAAAAAAUUUGCUGGCUUGAAAUUCUGAAAAAAAUAUUUGCCGCAGGAUAUGUUUUGCUCGAGCCAGUUGUAACGGGUGGAUGGUGAGCCAGCAUUAGCCCUUGGACGAACUCAUGGGUCAACCUUGGAAGAACUGAGUGGUGAAUCUUUGUUCCCAAAGCAGCACUACUCACUGAUGUAACUAUGCCAUAUCACCUGAAUUGUCCGUUUAUGAAAGUGUAGAGCCCUUUCAUGAGGAGUGGAUGUCUAUAUCAGUACUUUUCUUGUCAUAGUCAAAGAAAAGCGAGGACUAAUGUACCUUCCCCAAAUUUAUUUUUUUUAAAAGAAAUUUGGUUACAAGAUGGGUCUUCUUUCCUAUCACUUCUCUUCCUCUUUAUCUAUUUGUUUAUUAUUGUUUCCUUGAGCUUAUAUCAUCUCAUCGUCUUUAGUAACUUGUUUUCUAAACAUUCUAAUUCUCGUGACACUUCUGCUUUCAGGCCUGGACCCUUUUCUAAACUUUUGAUGUAGAGGUUGAAAUAUAUGUUUUUGUAGGGCAAUCAGUUAGGGUCAGCAUGAUUGCUAAAAAAGUCUUGAGCAAAGGAGAAGCAAGGAGGGCUGUCGGCAUGGGAAGGCACAGAAUGGCUGAAAGGGAUAUUGCAACAAACUUGAACUGAUUUUUUAUAGGUACUGCAUUUCAGCAAAUAUUGUUGACUACAACACAGCAUGCCGGAAUGUUUUUGUCACUUAACAAGUCAUUUGUGACGCUACAUUUAAAUUCACUUUCACCAGUAUCUGAUGUUUAUAUGCGCUCCCUGUUGUUUUUUUCUCAUGUCUACUGACGAGUCCAAAUCUCCAAUAUAGCCAAAGGACUUAAACAGGCUCACAGCUCUAUUCGUGACGCAACAUAUAGAAGAGGGUGACAUGGUCACACAGUGAAAUCCCUGAAAUGCCGUCACUAGCGGUUUGGUGGAGAGAAACAGGAUACUGUCGGCAAAGCUGACAGCUUACCAACUAGAAAGGAAAGCAAUUCUUACUCGUAUGGUAUGGAUUUAUUGUUCACUCCACUCAUGUUCUUGUUAAAAGGGAAGGAGGUAUAAUGAUUAAUACAGGGACAUGACUUUCUUUCUACAAGAAUCUUCACACUUUCAAGGCUCUCCCAUGAUUAACCUUUUCUUUUUAUCAUGUAUCUUUUCUUUACUUUUUUUUUUUUUCCCUUCCUUUCCACUUAUACAAGUUUUGAUUGUUUUUGAAUUCGAAGCCUAUCAAUGGAAGAUGUGAGACAUGAUGUUGAAAUGGAUUGGUAGUAUUCAUUGUUGUGGCCCUCCUCUGUGUAUAUAUAUAUAAUAUUCUCUGUUUACACUUUA
Molecule: long non-coding RNA, 2187 nt
Organism: Ricinus communis (castor bean)
Lineage: Eukaryota; Viridiplantae; Streptophyta; Magnoliopsida; Malpighiales; Euphorbiaceae
Exons: 2
Source: RefSeq, a predicted model, not a curated record